UACGGGGGGGGCAAGCGUUGUUCGGAAUUACUGGGCGUAAAGGGCUCGUAGGCGGCCAACUAAGUCAGACGUGAAAUCCCUCGGCUUAACCGGGGAACUGCGUCUGAUACUGGAUGGCUUGAAUCCGGGAGAGGGAUGCGGAAUUCCAGGUGUAGCGGUGAAAUGCGUAGAUAUCUGGAGGAACACCGGUGGCGAAGGCGGCAUCCUGGACCGACACUGACGCUGAGGAGCGAAAGCCAGGGGAGCAAACGGG
Molecule: ribosomal RNA, 253 nt
Filed under: uncultured bacterium
Lineage: Bacteria
Description: partial 16S ribosomal RNA
Rfam family: Bacterial small subunit ribosomal RNA
Source: RNAcentral